Molecule: long non-coding RNA, 4022 nt
Organism: Crotalus tigris (Tiger rattlesnake)
Lineage: Eukaryota; Metazoa; Chordata; Lepidosauria; Squamata; Viperidae
Exons: 3
Source: RefSeq, a predicted model, not a curated record
AAGACUAACUGUAUAUUUAAUUUGAGUUAUCUGAGGGACUGCCUCCCCCAAUUUCAUCAGCCCCUCCCAUUAGAUUUGGCAGAGAAGGUACUUACAUUUCGUAGGUUCCGGGAGAAAGGCCUUGUCUAGUGUAAGCAUGACUUAUAGAACAUUCUCCACCCUGAAGUUAAAUUAGCUCAUGUUCAUGUUCCAAAAGUCCAUCAAGACUUAGUUAUAUCAUCAGUCCCCCAAGAUAUAUUUUAAUUUUUAAUAAUAUUUUAUUUUUAGUGAUGAUUGUUUUAUAUUUUAUAAUAAUUUUUUACGUAUUUGUUGUUUUAUUUGAUUGCUAUUUGUCACCCAGACUAACUUUUCAUGAGAUGGACAGACAUAAAAUUGAUACAUAAAUAAAAAAUCAUUUAUUAUUGUGGUUAAAACUCUUAAUAAAAAUAAUAAAAUAAUAGUUUAAAAAGAUCCCUGAUCCAUCAUGCAAUAGAGGUGGAUGUGUUACAGAUGUGGACCACAUGACCACUGUCUACAGCUGCUGUGGAAUCUGAGGAAAGAAUGCAGCUGUUCUAAGGUGUUGCAGACUGAUGCAGACUUCUUGCUCUGAAGCACUUUUAAGGAAAUUUAUUCUGAAGAAUUGCAUAGGCUUAUUAUUCUUUCUCUUCUGACAUACAUAAAGAUUAUUAGAAAUGUCAGCUGAUUUUUAAAAAAGGAAAUACUCAAGUAAUGAUAUCUGUGUGCAAAUGAGUGGUUAAUGGUGAAUAUUUAAUUUAAAAUACUAACACUGGCCUGUAAUGCCCAAAAAGGUUACCGGAAGGACUAUUUUCAGCAACACCUUGCACUCUGAAAUGGGCAUUUCCACCAGAGUAGUUAGACCAAAUGCUAAAACAGGCAGAAUAGCACUUAGCAAUGGCACUUAGACUUAUAUACCGCUUCACGGUGCUUUACAGAGCUCUCUAAGCAGUUUACAGAGUCAGUAUGACUCCUGCAUCUAGAGUUAGAGCAAACUAAUAUCCACCAAUAUUCAAGUAGGCUCUAAAUAUAUUUAGACUGUAGACAUUGACUUAUCACUGGGUAGGAUUUAGCUGAGAUACUGGGAUUGCAGAAAUGAUUUGCUUCAAUAGUUGUUGUUAUUGCUCGUGCUUAUUGAAUUUAUUUCAAAUCACUUUGGGAGAAGUUAUCUCAGAAGGCAUCAUCAUAACCAUUUUUAAUAAAUGAAUAAAUCCCUUCCUUGUAUAGGCUCAAGUGGGUACUAGUUUUAACUGAGCAACAGACAGCAAUAUAAACAUGCAAUUCAAAUGUCACAUAAGUAGAAUUUUUAAACAGAUAUUUCAGAAUCUCUGCUCCUCUUCCUAAGUCAUAAAAUUUAUACUCUAUAUAAUAUGGAAAGCAGGUUGAUACAAUCUGGCUAUUCCUUUAUAAUUUUUUUUAAGAGGACUGUAUUGUCAUCAUAUCCACCUGGUCAUCCAGGAAAAUUGAUGUACCAUUGAUGCUCUCAGAAAUAGUAAGUGCACUCUGAUUUUUUUUUAAUUCAAUUUUUAUUCUAGUGAUUUUCAGCAAAAAUGAUUUUCUUCUUGUUUCUUUACUCCCUUUCCUACUUAUCUGUCUAUAUAAUCAUAAAAUGAGGGGGAAAAACUUUGCAUGCAAAAAGACCUUGGUUUUGUCGGUAUCUUCAGUAAAAGUGUGAGAUCCAAAGAAAGUGUUUUGUUCACCAGAGUCAAAAUUGGGAUAGAUCUGGCAUCCAUCCUUUUGUGGGUUGAGGACAGUUUUUGAGUGAUGUGUUCCAGAAUACAUGGUAGGUAAGUCCAGAAGAAAACUUCUGUCUGAUUUAAUGAUAAAUAAAAUUAAUAUUAUGACUAUCAGGAAAUUUAGCAAUUUUCCCUUCAAUUAUAUUGAAGAUUUGGAUUUCAUGAUCACUUAUGAGUUGCUCUGCAAGAUAGCCCAGGAUUUUAAGGAACCCCUUGGGCUGAAUACUAUCAUGUUGUGAUAGGUUUAUACAUAUUCAGAUAUAAUCUUGUGCUGAAAACUAUUGAAAGUUUUAUCCCUCUGAUUAUAAGAAUAUCCACAGGGAACAAGUGACUUAUGUACUCAUGUGUCACAUGUGACUUUUUUGGUUUCUCAGGGUGCUUGAGAGGUGGGGAAAAUGUAUUAGAGUAUUGUUAUAAGUUUUUAAAUGCAAUGAUAGCAGGAAAAGCCAGCAAAAUAUUGCAGAUUAGUAAAAGAGUAUCAAAAGAGGGACAUGGACAGACACACAUACAACUCUAACAAUGAAAACAAGUUCCUAAAAAAAUAUUAACACAGUGAGUUCAGUUUUUAUUUCAUGAAAAUGAAGAGGGUUUUUUUUUUUUUAAAGAAGGAAAAUGUUUUGUUAAAACACUAGGCAGAUACAGUUUUUAUUUAUUUCUCAGUUUCUCAAACUUAACACUGGCAUGUCUGAUCCCAUUGUUUCUAAUCUUUAGCCAGGAUGCAAAGAACUGUAAAAUUAGUCUUGUAAAUCCAAGGAGACUUCAAGCUUGUUUUGCUUUAACAGCCGCCAACCACAGAGCAUGACGAACUGUUUAUAUCGUGGCACAGGAAUCAACUGUUGAAAGACAAAGAACAAGCCAGCAAUCCUUCCUGUCUUCGAUCUACUCCCUCCACAUGUAUCUAGCAAUGGGCAACUGCAGCAUCCUCUCCUAAACAAAAUAUAUGGAUCAGGUAAAUGCUACCUGAAGAAACUGGAACCAAAGAUGAUAGAAGUCCCCCCAAAAGAUGUUUUUCUUUAUUGUCCUGCCAAUGAGAGGAGAUGGGAAGAAGAGCUUCCUCAAUGCCAUCCUGGUGCAGUGGAUAGAAACUAGGAGAUGGGGAGUUCUAAUCCCACUUGGCCACAAGACCAAUUGGAUGACCUUCAGUUGGUUACUUAUUCUCAGGUGUCGGAAGAAGGCAGUGGCAAAUCACUUCCAAAAUCUUGCCAAAAAUUGCAGAAACUCAUCCAUCCAGUGGUCAACUUGCCUCACUUGAAAGCACACACAUUUAAAAGAUGGUACCUUACUGUGGAAUGAUACAUCCAGAGAUUUUUGCCUAGCACCUCCAAUAAGUCUUCUAAUUUCAAUUUUUUUAAAAAAAGAACCUUCAUUUUCUCAAGCAUAAAAAAAACAUGUUAGUCUUUUUAAAAGUUUGUAUUUGUUGGCCACUGCCAUCACUGGAUUUAUUACUGUUAUUGUUGGUCACACAGUCAACCAGAUAUUUAGGUUAGAUUUAGCAUUUUUAUCCAUUUAUCGAGUCCUUUCCAGCGACCUGGAAUAGGCAGAUAUUGUUUGAUGGUAUUAAAUGUAUCAUCACAAAUGUAAUUUGUUCUAAGUAAGUGCCUUUUGUAAUUGACUGAUAGUGAUUUUGUCAAUGCCAAUAGUGUUCAAGUGUACUCCAGAUGUUCAUUAUAUUAUUAUAAUUGGCAUUAUAACAUUACUAUUGUUGUUGGCCCAAUCUGAACUGUAUAAAAAGUGUUAGGAGUACAAUUUGUAAAAUACUCAAACCAUUCACAAUGUUGCACUUCUACCGUGACUAAAAGGCAUUACAUUUUUUAAAAAUUAUCUAUCCAUAUUUUAAUAGAAGUUAUUUAAAUUUAUUUCUUAGUAAACAUGCAGAAGAUUGUACUGAUGAUCUAGGACUCUUGUGUUAUCAAGACGACUCAGCUUUUGCAAAUAAUCCAAAAUACAUUUGUACAUUGAUGUGAAAAUGAUAUAAGGGGGCUGUUGUUACUGUUGCAAAUAUUUAGUAUUAGAGUGUCAGUAAAAUGAAACAUCUUGCCUUUCCCCUCCCGGGGCUAUGAGUCACUCCUAAACUGCAUGCAAAGAAACAGCUACAUUUUACCAAAUUUAAGAAGUUUCCAUAACUGACAUGUCCUUAUGUAGAAUAAUUUUAUUCCAUAUACCACUAUGUACUAUGUACAUUCAUAUACACCUCCUAAAAUACUUUGCAUACAAUAGACAAAAUCUAUUUUCACAGCCACUGAACAUAUAAAGCCAGCCCAGCUGUUCUUCUUUUCUGAAUCAUAACUUCAU